CGUUGUUUCUUGGAUCUACUCUCUACUUGGAUAACUGUGGUAAUUCUAGAGCUAAUACAUGCAUGAAGACCCGACGCAAGGACGGUCGCAUUUAUUACAACAAAACCAUCCGGUCCUCGGACCGUUCUCUGGUGACUCUGAAUAACUGAGCAAAUCGCACGGUCUCGCACCGGCGAUGUGUCUUUCAAGUGUCUGCCUUAUCAACUUUCGAUGGUAGUUUAUGUGCCUACCAUGGUUGUCACGGGUAACGGAGAAUCAGGGUUUGACUCCGGAGAGGGAGCCUGAGAAACGGCUACCACUUCUAAGGAAGGCAGCAGGCGCGCAAAUUACCCAUUCUCGGUACGAGGAGGUAGUGACGAAAAAUACCAAGCCGGGGCUCUUAUGAGUUUCGGCAUUGGAAUGAGAACAAUCCAAAUCUUUUAACGAGGAACUAGUGGAGGGCAAGUCUGGUGCCAGCAGCCGCGGUAAUUCCAGCUCCGCAAGUGUAUGUCUAUAUUGCUGAGGUUAAAAAGCUCGUAGUUGGAUCUGCGUGUCUAGCACCCGGUGCGGUCGUUGAUCGUUACUGGGCUGCGACACAUUGACUGUCGGACGGCCGUCGAUGCUCUUCACCGGGUGUCGGCGGUGUCUGACGAGUUUACUUUGAACAAACUAGAGUGCUCAACACAGGCGUUUCGCUUGUAUAUUUCUGCAUGGAAUAAUAGAAUAGGACCUUGGUUCUAUUUUGUUGGUUUUCGCGACUGAGGUAAUGAUUAAGAGGGACUGACGGGGGCAUUCGUACUGCGACGUGAGAGGUGAAAUUCUUGGAUCGUCGCAUGACGCACUACUGCGAAGGCAUUUGCCAAGAAUGUCUUCAUUAAUCAAGAACGAAAGUAACGGGUUCGAA
RNAcentral lists this ribosomal RNA (883 nucleotides) under Nematoda environmental sample. RNAcentral describes it as "SSU rRNA". It matches the Rfam family "Eukaryotic small subunit ribosomal RNA", at positions 111 to 1002 of the family's 1831-position model. Lineage: Eukaryota; Metazoa; Nematoda. The record is from RNAcentral.